Molecule: long non-coding RNA, 630 nt
Organism: Perca flavescens (yellow perch)
Lineage: Eukaryota; Metazoa; Chordata; Actinopteri; Perciformes; Percidae
Exons: 3
Source: RefSeq, a predicted model, not a curated record
UAACGUUAGCUAAUUGAGCUUUAGAUUGAUUUUGCCGUGGGUCGUUAUCUUAACAUUUAGAAAGUGAUAUCAGCUGCAUUAUUACUGAUCUACAUGAACUCACAGGUUGAUGGUCCUCUCCAGUGUGAGCGGUUUAGCAGGCCCGCUCAUGUAUUUGUUCUCAAACUGAACGGAACCACGACGCGGCCAGCCGGUGGUCGAGCGAUUGGGAGGCACGACCGACAUCUCUAACGUUUGCAGGACGAGGCUGAAUCCUCCUAUAAAUGUACCUCUGGUGGUAGUUGGUUCGUAACUCGCUGGACUAUCUGAAUAUCAAAAGAAACUCUCAACACUUGUGUGGACAAUCCACAACAAUUUCUCUACCGUCGUUUCCCUCGGCCCUCCUCUUCCUGGUGAUGAAGUGCGGUUUUUCUGGCCGAUGUCCCCACCAGCGACACCUGCUGGUCUGGAUGAUGAACAUCAGCGGGUUAUUUAAAACCAUCAAUCUAAAUUCCCUUCUUCCAGCUGGCCUUUCAUUUCCAGGAUGUCGGUCUCAUCAACGGAAUUUAGUUAAGGAAAGCUCUGCUGUGUAGGCAACAUAUCAUUUACCCUGGGUGGCAGUUGGAGCACUGUAUUUGAAGACUAUCAUAA